CCGCCAUGAUGGAGGCUCCCCUCCCAGGUAACAGGAGCUGUGGACGGGUCUGCUCCGGGCUGACACUGCUGGAUGUGCGGGGAGGUUCAUGGCGUCCUGGGCCGCGGUCUGUGGGAAGGUCCCGGGCCGCGGGUUACUCCUCCAGCAGCCGGUGACCGCUCUCCUGACCUGUAAUAUACGGUUCUGACUCCAGGAGGAGAAGUCCCCCC
This is a long non-coding RNA of Bufo bufo (common toad), 209 nucleotides long. RefSeq lists it as uncharacterized. Lineage: Eukaryota; Metazoa; Chordata; Amphibia; Anura; Bufonidae. The transcript has 3 exons. The record is from RefSeq and is a predicted model, not a curated record.